RNAcentral lists this unclassified non-coding RNA (301 nucleotides) under plant metagenome. RNAcentral describes it as "partial contains 5.8S ribosomal RNA, internal transcribed spacer 2, and large subunit ribosomal RNA". The stretch from base 1 to 105 matches the Rfam family "5.8S ribosomal RNA", at positions 50 to 154 of the family's 154-position model. The record is from RNAcentral.
GAAAUGCGAUAAGUAGUGUGAAUUGCAGAAUUCAGUGAAUCAUCGAAUCUUUGAACGCACAUUGCGCCCUAUGGUAUUCCGUAGGGCAUGCCUGUUCGAGCGUCAUUUACACCUUCAAGCCUUGCUUGGUGUUGGGUGACUGUGGCCCCUUUGGGGCCACUCGCCUUAAAGUCAUUGGCGGCCGGUUCGUUGGCUUUGUAGCGCAGCACAAUUGCAUCCUCGAAGCCGCUGGACCAGCUCCCAGAAGCUAAUUUUAAAUGUUUGACCUCGAAUCAGGUAGGGAUACCCGCUGAACUUAAGC